GAUGAACGCUAGCUACAGGCUUAACACAUGCAAGUCGAGGGGUAACGAGAGGAAAGCUUGCUUUCCUUGUCGACGACCGGCGCACGGGUGAGUAACGCGUAUCCAACCUGCCCCCAACUAGGGAAUAACCUUGCGAAAGUAAGACUAAUACCCUAUACUUUCCUCAGAUGUCAUCUGACGAAGAAUAAAGAUUUAUCGGUUGUGGAUGGGGAUGCGUCUGAUUAGCUUGUUGGCGGGGUAACGGCCCACCAAGGCAACGAUCAGUAGGGGUUCUGAGAGGAAGGUCCCCCACAUUGGAACUGAGACACGGUCCAAACUCCUACGGGAGGCAGCAGUGAGGAAUAUUGGUCAAUGGGCGGAAGCCUGAACCAGCCAAGUAGCGUGCAGGAUGACGGCCCUAUGGGUUGUAAACUGCUUUUAUACAGGAAUAAAGUUAGCCACGUGUGGUUAUUUGUAGGUACUGUAUGAAUAAGGACCGGCUAAUUCCGUGCCAGCAGCCGCGGUAA
Molecule: ribosomal RNA, 506 nt
Filed under: uncultured bacterium
Lineage: Bacteria
Description: partial 16S ribosomal RNA
Rfam family: Bacterial small subunit ribosomal RNA
Source: RNAcentral